UACGAAGGGUGCUAGCGUUGUUCGGAAUUACUGGGCGUAAAGCGCGCGUAGGCGGCUAUCCAAGUCAGAGGUGAAAGCCCUGGGCUCAACCCAGGAAUUGCCUUUGAAACUGUUUAGCUUGAGUGUCGGAGGGGAUAGCGGAAUUCCUAAUGUAGAGGUGAAAUUCGUAGAUAUUAGGAGGAACACCGGUGGCGAAGGCGGCUAUCUGGACGACAACUGACGCUGAGGCGCGAAAGCACGGGGAUCAAACAGG
This 253-nucleotide ribosomal RNA is filed under the name uncultured bacterium. RNAcentral's name for it is "partial 16S ribosomal RNA". It matches the Rfam family "Bacterial small subunit ribosomal RNA", at positions 524 to 776 of the family's 1533-position model. The record is from RNAcentral.